Molecule: ribosomal RNA, 253 nt
Filed under: uncultured bacterium
Lineage: Bacteria
Description: partial 16S ribosomal RNA
Rfam family: Bacterial small subunit ribosomal RNA
Source: RNAcentral
UACGUAGGGCGCAAGCGUUGUCCGGAAUUACUGGGCGUAAAGCGCACGUAGGCGGAUUGUUAAGUCGGGGGUGAAAUCCUGGAGCUCAACUCCAGAACUGCCUUCGAUACUGGCGAUCUCGAGUUCGGGAGAGGUGAGUGGAACUGCGAGUGUAGAGGUGAAAUUCGUAGAUAUUCGCAAGAACACCAGUGGCGAAGGCGGCUCACUGGCCCGAUACUGACGCUGAGGUGCGAAAGCGUGGGGAGCAAACAGG